CCUCUAGAUGAGGAAGAAAUCAUAGCUUAUAUUGUAAAUGGCCUAGAUGGUGAAUAUGAUUCAUUUGUAUCGUCACUUGGGAUGAGGGUCGAACCCAUCUCGGUUGCAUGCUCAACUGUUGAAUUAUGAGA
Molecule: non-coding RNA, 131 nt
Organism: Oryza meridionalis
Lineage: Eukaryota; Viridiplantae; Streptophyta; Magnoliopsida; Poales; Poaceae
Source: Rfam